UAUAGGCCUAUGUCAUAGAAUCUCUUUUGCUAGUUUUGCUACAAAAAUAAUAAAAAAAUCAUACGGUAUAUUCCCACAAGACGAUUGAAGAAGUUUUCUCAUGCUGUGGAAAAUUAUCAUUUACAAAAUAAGAUUCUCAAGAGAUAAGCCACAAAACUGGGAAUCUCACUUGUGCCUAGUAGAAGCUGCCAGGAAAAUCAUGAUUUGCGAGGAUUGAUAUUAUGGCAUCGCGUUAUCCUUGAGGCCAAAUACGGCACAACGACCGUGAAGCUCAAUAGAGUAUCCAAUUGGAGAACCUAUGUUUUCGAAAUUGUCGACAGAGCGGCUACCGAAGAACGGAAA
Long non-coding RNA from Nilaparvata lugens (brown planthopper), 342 nucleotides. RefSeq lists it as uncharacterized. The record is from RefSeq and is a predicted model, not a curated record. The transcript has 3 exons. Lineage: Eukaryota; Metazoa; Arthropoda; Insecta; Hemiptera; Delphacidae.